Molecule: ribosomal RNA, 264 nt
Filed under: uncultured bacterium
Lineage: Bacteria
Description: partial 16S ribosomal RNA
Rfam family: Bacterial small subunit ribosomal RNA
Source: RNAcentral
GUCCUAGCCGUAAACGAUGGACACUGAGUGAAGGGGGCUUGCCUCUCUUUGCUGCAGCUAACGCGUUAAGUGUCCCGCCUGGGGAGUACGACCGCAAGGUUAAAACUCAAAGGAAUUGACGGGGCUCGCACAAGCGGUGGAGCAUGUGGUUCAAUUCGAUGCAACGCGAAGAACCUUACCCGGGCUUGAAGUGGAGGUGGUAGGAGCCGGAAACGGUGACGACCCCGCAAGGGGAGCCUUCAUCAGGUGUUGCAUGGCUGUCGU